Molecule: long non-coding RNA, 665 nt
Filed under: Phasianus colchicus (ring-necked pheasant)
Lineage: Eukaryota; Metazoa; Chordata; Aves; Galliformes; Phasianidae
Description: lncRNA (ENSPCLG00000000010.1)
Source: RNAcentral
UGUUUGCUUCUCGCUGUUAUCCCUCUCACCCCCUCCCCCCAAAGUUUCUGUGGUUUUCCUGUCCUGUUCGUCCUUCCUCAGCAGUCUAUCUGCCUUUCCCUCCCCCUCUGCUUCUCUCCCUUCUUCCAGCUUUGUUUCUGGGGUAGCUGGGAGAAGGGUUUUGUUUGAUGGAUCUAUUUGUAAUGGGUGAGGUCCACCUUUCAGCAGUGCCACUCUCCGCUCCAUCAGUUUAUUGUUAAGGGAUGGACCAUUUCAUCCAACCCAAAAUGCAUGAGAAAAAAGAUUUGCCCAGCUGGAGGCUAACAUGGCUGCUCCUGAGAUCUGGUCAUCAUCAGAGAAAGGAGCACUCCCUGCAUUGCAGAGUCCUAUGCUGCUGGUUUGCCCACCAGACUGCAGGAGUAGGUGAAGUGGGAGUAACUGGAUGGAGAAGACGACCCUUGAUUGUCCUGAAACAAGCACAUGUGAAAACAUGGUUUCGGUCAGCUGUAGGAAUGUAGUAGAGACAAUACAUUGGGUUGCUGACAGUCUAAUCCGGAUGUCUUUUUUAAAACAAUAAGGUACCCUUGCAAGCAUAAAUUAGGGACUAGUUUUGUUUAGGUGAUGUUUCUCAUCAUGGAUAAUUUUAUCACAAAUAAAGCACAGUUAAAAAAUUGUCCUGGUCUCCA